This 303-nucleotide ribosomal RNA is filed under the name Triticum aestivum (bread wheat). Its description in RNAcentral is "partial small subunit ribosomal RNA". The record is from RNAcentral. Lineage: Eukaryota; Viridiplantae; Streptophyta; Magnoliopsida; Poales; Poaceae.
AUGGCCAUUAGUGAAGCUGACCAAGUGGUUUGGACCUUGGGGAAGAAGAGUAGAUUUACUACGAAAUCUGUAUACGAAUACUUGGAGAGAAAUGUGGCGGGGGCAAACUACAAAUGGAUCUGGAAAGCAAAGACCCCCCUUAAGAUUCAAAUUUUUCUUUGGCAACUAUUCCAGGAUGCUAUCCUAACGAGAGAUGUAAUGAGUAGACGAAAGUGGCUGGGGAAUCCUACUUGUUCCUUCUGUGAUGGGAGAGAAACAUCCCAUCAUCUUUUCUUCACUUGUCCUGUGCCCAGAGUCCUCUAG